CCUACGGGGGGCAGCAGUGGGGAAUAUUGCACAAUGGGCGCAAGCCUGAUGCAGCGACGCCGCGUGAGGGAUGACGGCCUUCGGGUUGUAAACCUCUGUUAGCAUCGAAGAAGCGAAAGUGACGGUAGGUGCAGAGAAAGCGCCGGCUAACUACGUGCCAGCAGCCGCGGUAAUACGUAGGGCGCGAGCGUUGUCCGGAAUUAUUGGGCGUAAAGAGCUUGUAGGCGGUUGGUCGCGUCUGCUGUGAAAGGCUGGGGCUUAACCCUGGUUUUGCAGUGGGUACGGGCUAACUAGAGUGCAGUAGGGGAGACUGGAAUUCCUGGUGUAGCGGUGGAAUGCGCAGAUAUCAGGAGGAACACCGAUGGCGAAGGCAGGUCUCUGGGCUGUAACUGACGCUGAGAAGCGAAAGCAUGGGGAGCGAACAGGAUUAGAUACCCUAGUAGUC
Molecule: ribosomal RNA, 445 nt
Filed under: uncultured bacterium
Lineage: Bacteria
Description: bacterial SSU rRNA
Rfam family: Bacterial small subunit ribosomal RNA
Source: RNAcentral